This 12790-nucleotide long non-coding RNA is filed under the name Homo sapiens (human). Its description in RNAcentral is "non-protein coding lnc-PIWIL4-1:9". The record is from RNAcentral. Lineage: Eukaryota; Metazoa; Chordata; Mammalia; Primates; Hominidae.
AGUUCGCCAGGCAGGAAGUGCAGUAGCAGGACUCUGGCUUUCCGGAGAGUCUCUGUUUUUCCUUUUUUUUUUUCCCUUUUCGCCCAAUAAAUACCAUUUUUCUCACCCUUCAAAGUGUCUGCAAGCCUAAUAUUUCAUGGAUGUUUGACAAGGACCCCGUCUUUAGCUGAACUAAGGAGAAAGUCCUGCAACACACACAUGGAGCUCAGCAAACGGAGGAUGUAGUAGACGCACAUGAAAUUUGGUGCUGUGACUCGGAUUGGGGGACCUCCCUUGGGAGAUCAAUCCCCUGUCCUCCUGUUCUUUGCUCCAUGGGAAAGAUCCACCUACGACCUCAGGUCCUCAGACCGACCAGCCCAAGGAACAUCUCACCAAUUUUAAAUCGGGUAAGCGGCCUCUUCUUACUCUCUUCUCCAAGCUCUCUCACUGUCCCUCAACCACUUUCUCCUUUCCACUCUUCAAUCUUUCCCUUCUCUUAAUUUCAAUUCCUUUCAUUUUCUGGUAGAGACGAAGGAGACACGUUUUAUCUGUGGACCCAAAACUCCGGUGUCGGUCACGGACUAGGGAAGGCAGCCUUCCCUUGGUGUUUAAUCAUUGCAGGGAUGCCUGAUUAUUCACCCAAGUUUCAGAGGUGUCAGACCAUGCAGGGACGCCUGUCUUGGUCCUUCACCCUUAGCAGCAAGUCCCGCUUUUCUGGGGAAGGGGCAAUACCCCAACCCCUUCUCUCCAUGUCUCUACCCCUUCUUCACCUUUCUGGGGGGCAAGAAACCCCCAACCCCUUCUCCUUCACCCUUAGCGGCAAGUCCCGCUUUUCUAGGGGAGAGGCAAAUACCCCAACCCCUUAUAUCUCUGCGCCCCAUCCCUUAUUUCCCCACCCCAACCCCUUAUAUCUCUGUGCCCCGAUCCCUUAUUUCCAUGCCCCAACCUCUUAUAUCUCUGCACCCCAAUCCCUUAUUUCCGCGCCCCAACCUCUUAUAUCUCUGCACCUUUGUGCCCCAACCCCUUCUCUGCUUUUCUGGAGGGCAAGAACUCCCCACCCCUUCUCCGUGUCUCUACUGUUUUCUCUGGGCUUGCCUCCUUUACUAUGGGCAAGCUUCCACCUUCCAUUCCUCCUUCUUCUCCCUUAGCCUGUGUUCUUAAGAACUUAAAACCUCUUCAACUCUCACCUGACCUAAAAUCUAAGCAUCUUAUUUUCUUCUGCAAUGCCGCUUGACCCCAAUACAAACUCGACAGUAGUUCCAAAUAGCCAGAAAAUGGCACUUUCAAUUUUUCCAUCCUACAAGAUCUAAAUAAUUCUUGUCAUAAAAUGGGCAAAUGGUCUGAGGUGCCUGACAUCCAGGCAUUCUUUUACACGUCGGUCCCUCUCUAGUCUCUGUUCCCAAUGCAACUCAUCCCAAAUCUUCCUUCUUUCCCUCCCACCUGUCCCCUCAGUCCCAACCCCAAGCGUCACUGAGUCUUUCUAAUCUUCCUUUUCUACAGACCCAUCUGACCUCUCCCCUCCUCCCCAGGCUGCUCCUCGCCAGGCCGAGCUAGAUCCCAAUUCUUCCUCAGCCUCCGCUCCUCCACCCUAUAAUCCUUUUAUCACCUCCCCUCCUCACACCCGCUCUGGCUUAGUUGGUCUGGCUUAGUUUCAUUCCGUGACUAGCCCUCCCCUACCUGCCCAGCAAUUUGCUCUUAAAAAGGUGACUAGAGCUAAAGGCAUAGUCAAGGUUUAAUGCUCCUUUUUCUUUAUCCCAAAUCAGAUAACAUUUAGGCUCUUUUUCAUCAAAUAUAAAAAACCCAGCCCAGUUCAUGGCUCGUUCGGCAGCAACCCUGAGACGCUUUACAGCCCUACACCCUAAAAGGUCAAAAGGCCGUCCUAUUCUCAAUAUACAUUUUAUUACCCAAUCUGCUCCCGACAUUAAAUAAAACUCCAAAAAUUAAAUUCUGGCCCUCAAACCCCACACCAGGAUUUAAUUAACCUCGCCUUCAAGGUGUACAACAAUAGAAAAAAGUUGCAAUUCCUUGUCUCCACUGUGAGACAAACCCCAGCCACAUCUCCAGCACACAAGAACUUCCAAACGCCUGAACCGCAGCGGCCAGGCGUUCCUCCAGAACCUCCUCCCCAGGAGCUCGCUACAAGUGCCAGAAAUCUGACCACCAAGCCAAGGAAUGCCUGCAGCCCAGGAUUCCUCCUAAGCCGUGUCCCAUCUGUGCAGGACCCCACUGGAAAUCGGACUGUUCAACUCACCUGGCAGCCACUCACAGAGCCCGUGGAACUCUGGCCCAAGGCUCUCUGACUCCUUCUCGGCUUAGCGGCUAAAGACUGACACUGCCCGAUCGCCUCGGAAGCCCCGUAGACCAUCACGGACGCCGAGCUUUAGAUGAAGAAACUGAGGUCCAGAGAAGUUAAACGACCUUCCUAAGAUUACACAGCUUAGUAAGUGGCAGAACCACAGCUGGAAGCCAGGUCCUUCCUCACGCAAGUCCUGGCUCAUUCAUUCCUCUUCCAAAGACUUGCUGAGCACCUUCUAGGUGCCAGAUGCGGUGCUGGCUCCUGGGGACAUGGGAGUGAACAGGCCAGGCGUGGCCCUGAACCAUCAAAUAGACAACCACAGAAAUAACAACGUGAGUUAAAAUGAGAUUAUGAAGAAGAGACACAGGUUUCUACAAUGGUUUAGUAGAGGGAUCUCUAACCAAGUUUGGAGAGUUGAGAAAGUCUCUAUGAGGCAGUCACAUCCAUGUAAGCUAAGAUCUGAAAGACAAAAGUUGUUAUCCAGGAGAGUGGCAGCAGGGAGAGCAUUCCAGAUGCAGGGAAUAGCUUGGCACGUUUGUGGAAGAGAAAAAUCUGUUAACGUGAUUGUAGGGUAGGGUGGAAAAAAGGAGAAAUGGAGCAAGAUGAGGCUAGGGAGGCAGGCAGGGACCAGACUACGAACUGCCUUAAAGCUCUGCUUAAAAAUGUUUGCCACGAUUUGAAGAGUAAUGGGAAGCCUUGAAGGUUUUUAACCAGAAGAGUCUUAUAUUUAGAUUUGUUAUUUUUUAAAUAUCACACUGGCUGCUGUUUAGGAAUGAUGCUGGAGGCUGACGAAGAUAAGGGUGGAAAGUGGGCAAUAAAUCAGGAGCUGUUGCAACAUUCCCAGCAAAGGAUAAUGGUGAAUGUAAUGGCAAUGGGGAUUUGGGGAAGCAGGGGGGCCUCGUGGCUGAUUGGAUGUGGUGUUGGUGAGGGAGGAGGGGUCACAGAUUUCCAUCCUCCCAUGGGUGUUUCUAUCUCCCAGGCUAGGCUUCUUGUGUUUGCUUUCCUUCUUGCAGAACAAAGACAAAACCGGGCCCUUCCACACAGUAGCUGGAACACAAAGGAAGAUCAGCCAAGCCUCAACAUAAUCUCAUAAAAAUUCUUCAAAUAUCCCAUUGUUAUGGAUUCAUACAUCAGGAAAGCAGGUAAAAUAUUUCACCUUGAUGCUCACCUAGAUGGUCAGACUCUUUGAGGAAGACAUCAAACUUUUCCCCAGAAAGAAAAAAUAAAUAACUUUUUAGACUAUACAAAAGGGUCAAUGUCAUGUUACAUAAGAUGCUCAAACUCCUGUCUUGAUGUUAAGUCCACUGGUCUUACCACAGCUUCUGAACACCAAGACUGCUGCUGUGACAGUGACAAGAGAAUUAUUUAGAAUUAAAAAACAAUUGUCCUUACAUUUUCUCCUCAAAAUUCUAGGGGAGAAAGAGCUUCCAAGUAAGCAGAGCCAAGGCACUAUUGAGAGUGACAGACUGGAAAGAAAGGAAUUAAGUGGCCUUUAGCUCCUGUCUGUUGGAGAGUGGUGUAGUAGAAAAUACUUAGGCUUUGGAAUCUGAGCUGGGUUCAGAUCCUGCUUCUCUCAUUUACUAGCUGCAUGUAGAUGAGUAUCUUAAAUUGCUUUUUCUGUGUCACAAAUGACAAUUUAAAAAACCUCUAUCUCACAGGUUAUUAUAAAAAGUAAGACACGCAUUCAAGGGUAGCAUAGUACUAGGCACAGAGGAAGAACAUUCAACAGGUGUGAGAGACAAUGUUGUCAAUAUGCUAUAUGCAAGGAAAAAUGUUUUUAGGUAUUUUUUGACUCUUUGAUGCUGAAUGGAAAAUUCUUCACUGUCAUUAGCAAUAAUGGAGAAGAUAAUUUCAGUUUGCAAUUGGAGGCUCAUAAAACAAGUAACUGGAUUUUCAGAAAAGUUAAGUAUUUGUUGAAUCUAUAAUGCACUAAUCGUUUUGUAAGGUGAUGUGAGAUACUUAAAGAGGCAUUAAGAUACAAACAUAGAGACUAGUGGGUGAGACAUAAAAGCAAAGACCUAGGAGAAGGAAGCUCAUCUAGGAAAGGAAGCUCCUUAGAUCUAGCUUGGCUGAGUUGCAAGCCAGACUGGAGAAGGUAAGUGCUCUCAGAAACAGGAAUUGCUGUCUGGCAGGGCCUGAAUGAUAAGAUCUACUCUUCCCCUGUCCAAAUGCAACCCCUAAAAGCCAGUUCAGAAUAAAUAAGGAAGAAUAUUUUUUUCAGAGCAAUUAAGAGUCAUUAUGAAGUAGGUCAGAAUAAAAUAUGGCAGCUUCAGGCUGUGUGCGAUUACUGCUCUGAUAUUUAUCUGCAAAGCAGGAGUCAUUUAUCCUAUUCUAAAAUAAAUAACUCGGCCAGGCAUGGUGGCUCAUGCCUGUAAUCCCAGCACUUUUGGAGGCCAAGGCAGGUGGAUCACCUGAGAUCAGAAGUUCGAGACCAGCCUGGCCAACAUGGUAAAACCCUGUCUCUACUAAAAAUACAAAAAUUAGCCAGGCAUGGUGGUGGGGAUCUGUAAUUCCAGCUACUCGGGAGGCUGAGGCAGGAGAAUUGCUUAAACCCAGGAGGUGGAGGUUGCAAUGAGCCGAGAUUGUGCCACUGCACUCCAGCCUGGGUGACAGAGCAAGACUGUGUCUCAAAAAAUAAAUAUAUAAAUAAAUAAAAUAAAUAACUCAAUGAGUUUUCAAAAACAACCAAAAAAUCAGCUUGAGAAAUAGUUUUCAGACAAACUUAGCCUGAGUAGACCCACCCUGAGAGAUUUGAGGGCUCUACUGAGGCAGGAGACUAGGGCCUGGAGGCAGGGAACAUAAAGCCAAUCCACACUGACUUUACUAAAUCAAAUGAAAGCACCUUAGCAAUGACAGGAAUGUGAAUGGUUUUGUAAAUUCCCUUCAUCCUCUCCAUUCAUACCAUUUCCACUUUGUAACUUCACUUUCAUCCUCUCCAUUUACAUAGAUCACACACCAACUAACAUCCUCUCCAUUUACAGUAGGGCACAUUCUGAGUAAAUGACUCUGUGACUUCACUUUAUUCACUUCAUUUACAUAGAAUAUUCACCAAGUGACCAACGGGAAACCUCUAGAGCAUUAAAACCCCAGAAAAUUCUGUAAGCCGGGCUCUUGAGCCUCUAUGAUUGGGCUGUUCCCACACUGUGGCGUGUACUUUUAUUCUCAAUAAAUCCCUGCUUUUGCUUUCCUUGCCUCAUUUGUGCAUUUUGUCAACUUCUUCAUUUGAGAUGCCAAGAACCUGAACACCUUCUACUGGUAACAUAUAUUUUGGCGAGCCAGCCUGGAGACAAGGUAGGCCCAAAGUUUGGGAUUUAUUUUUCUUUCCCCUUUUACAUACAGGGAAACCUUUUUCUCUCUCUUUUUCCUUUCCAACUUGGGACCCUCCGUGAUCAGCGCCUAAACAUAGAGACAACUGCAAGUUUCCAGCCAGGGCCACUCUCUGGUGAAACCUACAGGUUUCCAUGUGACGCAUCUGACCACCACCACCCGGCUGGGUGGGCAACCUGAGUCCUUUUCCUUGGUUUUGUUUUUCUGAGUCCUAUUCCUUUCUCCCUUUUACUGAGUUAUUUUUCUUUUUCCUGUUUCGGUCUUUCAGCUACUCCUAGUAGCUCCCGGUUAAUUGAGGACAGCUGGCCGGGGCCACUCUCGGGUGCCUUCUGAAGGCCAAGAAACGAAAAGGGAUGGCUGCCCUGCCCAGAAGGGGGAAGGACUUUUUUCUAUCUCUCCGGUUAGAGUUCCUCAUCCCAACAUGUGACGCAAUUGCUGUGGCAGCUCAUCCAGGGUGAACUCACACAUGUUUCAGACAACUUAAACCUUCUUUCCUCAUGCCAAAUUCUUCCCUUCCUCCAUUCAGCUGUCUAAGGACAAGAUAGAGGGUUCAGAUAUGUCAUAAAUUGUGAGAAUUAGGGAAAUUAACAAAGGGGAUUUAUGCAGGAACUGACGUGUAGGUUUACUGCCCAAAUUUAUAGAGUUAAAGGGUUGCUUUAACUGGGAUAGAAAAUCCUCAAGGAAAAGUUAACAGUAGGUCCUCAGUGGAGGAGGGAACCAUUCCAAAGUGGUGCCGGCACCCAUCUAAGGUUGGAGAUGUGCAACAGACUAAGUCAGACCCUUAAGGGGGAAGCCCUCAGGGACCCCGUGCUGGGCCCAGAAUUUUUCCAGGGGAAUGCCCCGGGUAAAAUUUGGGUCACCUAAUAAACCCUCCACUUUUCAAAGUCCUCUUCUCUUUUCCAGACCACUAUGGGCAACUUCCUGUCUAUUCUACCUGGUGUCACUGUGGACAACUUCCUAUCUAUUCCACCCGAUUCACCGCUUGGCUACAUCCUCCACCAUUGGGAUGAAUUUGACCCUAACAAUCUAAAGAAAAGGCAUAUGAUUUUUUACUGCAAUAUUGUUUGACACAAUUAUGAGCUGCCCAAUCCGGAACAAUGGGCAGUCAAUGGUAGCCUUAAUUAUGAUACCAUCCUGUAUCUAGACCUAUUUUACAAGAGGCAGGGCAAAUGGUCAGAAGUCCCACAUAUACAGGCCUACAUGACCCUAUACGAAGACCUAAGAAUCUAGGAAACUCCCAGAACCCAUCCCCCGAAGGAAAGUUCUGGGGCAGAACUAGAUAUUAUAGAUGAACCCCCUUUUACAAGGGAUACCUGUCUCUCAGAGUGAGCAGUGACUGUCCCCAUAUAACCCCUCACCAAGUGCUCCUGAGGCUGAAACCCAGGGGCAAACAUGGGGAACCCUACUAAGUCCCCCUCACACUUGGAGGGGAACACUGUAUUCAACUCUCUAUCCAGCCCUGCUACUCUCAGAGAAAUAGCAGGGGCUGAGGGGCCAAUCCUAGUGUGGGUCCCCUUCUCUAUGAUUGAUAUACAACAAUGUAAGGAAAAGCUAGGAAGCUAUUCUGAGGAUUCCGGGAAGUUUGCAGAUGGGUUCCAAACUUUGACCUUAGCCUUUGAUCUCUCAUGGAGAGACGUUCAAUUCACUCUAGCAACCUGUUGCACCUCCUCGGAAAAGGAACGAAUCUUUGAGGCUGCCCUCCGAGAAGUGGACGAAUUAUUCACCCAAAACCGUAAAGGCAGUCACCCAGGCCCAGCCACAGUUCCCACUACGCAUCCUAAUUGAGACCAAGACACCCCCGCAGGAAGGAACAACUGGGCUAAAUUUCUUGAGGCUCUUGGAGGAAUGAGAAAGGGAAUAACUAAGGCAGUAAAUUAUGAUAAAGUAAGGCAGAUUACACAAGGCAGGGAGGAAAACCCAGCUGUGUUUUACGGCAGGCUGCGGGAAGCCUUUAAAAAAUAUAUACUAAUUUGGUCCCUUCCUCUCCUGAAGGCAAGUUAUUAAUGGCACAACGUUUCAUUAGCCAAUCCACACCAGACAUUAGACGUAAGCUCCAAAAGCUACACAUGGGGCCACAAACUAACCAAAAUCAGCUUCUUGGUACUGCCUUCAUGGUGUAUAACAAUCGUGACCUGGAGGAAGGAGAAGGGAAACAGAGUAAAGAAAAACGGCAAGCCAAAAUUAUGUUAGCCAUCACUGGUGAUGCCCUAAAUGCACAAAGAUUGUCCAAGGGAAACUCAAAGGGCCAUAAGGAUAAUGCCAGCAAAGGCUCUUGCUUCAAAUGCAAUAAAAGUGCGAUUGGGCACAGGAAUCCACUAAGCCCCCGCCAGUCCCCUGCCGUCAAUGUAAAAGCACCAGUUGUGGCUCCUGGCCCUGGAGAAUUGACUGUCCCUGCUCCCACCAAGGGGCUCAGUCAGUCAAAACUCUGGCAGUGCACAAGGAGGAAUCAGAUGAAGACUGAAGGGGCCUGGGGCCUUCCUCACUGCCCCGUCUAGGAACAUUGUAAUUACUACUGAGGAACCCUGGGUAACUCUGGACAUCAUGGCCACCCAAAUUCAGUUUUUAUGUGAUACCAAGGUGAAUUAUUCUGUACAACUGCUUAUGCAGGAAAACUUUCCUCCCGGUCCAUGAGUGAUAUUGGAUGGAAGGGAAGCCACAAACAAGAUUCUUACUCCUCCUUUGGUUUGUCAAUUUGAGAAACAAAUCUUCCAACAGGAAUUUUUAGUAGUACCAAGCUGCCCAAUUCCCCUGUGGGAAAGAGAUAUUAUGGUGAAAAUAGUGACACUACUGCAAUUUAAGCAAUAUUAGCAGGUGAAACUGCUAAUAGUAAGAAAUAAGGCAAUGUCCCAGACCAUGUCAAUAAACAGGUUAACCCACUGGCAUGGUAUACUGGAAACCCAGGGAAGGCUAAAACAGCAGUGCCAGUCAAAAUACAGCUUAAAGACCCCAGCCAUUUUCCCAAUGGAAAACAAUACCCAGUUGAACAGGAAGCAAGCAAAGGUCUAGCUCCCAUAGUUGAGAUAUUACUUACCCAUGGACUCUUAAAACCCUGCAAUUCUCCCUGCAAUACCCCCAUCUUACCUGUUCUCAAGCCUGGGGGGAAUACCAGCUAGUACAGAACCUCAGAAUAAUGAAUGAGGCUGUUAUCCCCGUCCACCCAUUGGUGGCAGAUCCAUAUGCCCUCCUGGCUCAGGUGCCAGGGCAUGCAAAAUGGUUCUCAGUCCUAGACCUUUCUUCUCCAUUCCUCUGGCCCCGAGCCCCCCAGUACCUUUUUGCUUUCGAAUGGGAAAAUCCUAAUACCAGAUAAAAACAAUACACUUGGACAGUGCUUCCUCAGGGCUUUCGGGAUAGCCCCCACUUCUUUGCCUGAGCAUUAGAGCGGGAUCUGAGGGAUUUCAAGUUAGAAAAUGGAGGUAUUCUUCAGUAUGGGGAUGACCUUGUGUGUAGCCCAACCUAGGAGGUUUCUGACCAAAAUACUAUAAAAACUUUGAAUUUCCUGGCAGACAGAGGAUACAAAGUGUCCAAAAAGAAGGCUCAGAUUACCCUCCAAUGGGUCCACUAUUUAGGAUAUGUCUUAACACCCGGAACCCGGCAAAUAUCCCCAGAAGGAGUGCAAGCUAUAUGUGGUUUGGCCGCGUGCACCACCCCCAGCCCCCACCCUGACCCACCUCCAAGCAGCAGCUUUGUUCCUUUUUGGGGAUGGCCGGGCUUUGGAGAAUAUGAGUACCAAAUUUUGGGCUCAUAGCAAAGCCCCUAUAUGAAGCAACAAGGGGGCCUGAAAAUGAGCUAAUGGAAUGGACCCCGGAAAUGAGGAAAGCCUUUGCCAAGUUAAAACAGGUUCUCACCCAGGCUCCUGCUCUUGGUAUCCCAGACCUAAUUAAGGCCUUCUCCUUGUAUGUAGCAGAGAAGAGGGGCAUAGCUGUGGGAGUGCUAGCCCAGAAAUUAGGAUCAGAACCCAGACCAACCGCCUACUUCUCAAAAAAGUUGGACGGAGUGGCCUCAGGAUGGCCAAGUUGCCUGCGGGCAAUAGCAGCCACUGCUGUUAGUGGAGGAAGCCACUAAAAUCACCCUAGGGCAACCACUGGAAGUUCUAACGCUCCAUCAGGUAAAGUUAGUCUUAGAAAUAAAGGGACACAUCUGGAUGACAGGGGAAAUGUUAACUAAAUACCAGCCCAUGCUCCUAGACAAUCCAGAUAUAACUCUUAAAACCUGCAACACUUUAAAUCCAGCUUCAUUGCUGCCCACAGGCCCAAUAAUUGAUCAUUCCUGUGAGCAGGUCAUUGCACAUACAUAUGUUAGCCAGCCUGAUUUAAAAGAUGAGGCUCUCCCAGAUUCUGAAGCUGACCGGCUCACAGACGGCAGUAGUUCUUUGUCGAAUGGGGAGCACAGAGCUGGAUAUGCAGCAGUAAAUCAUGACACAAUUAUUGAAGCCCAGCCAGUGCCCCCUGGCACAUCAGCACAAAAGGCUAAAAUCAUUGAUCUUACUCAAGCAUUAAUGUUGGGACAAGGGAAAAAACUUAACAUCUAUACAGAUUCUAAAUAUGCAUUCCUUGUGGUUCAUGCUCAUACCGCCAUCAGGAAAGAAAGGGGAUUACUUACUAGCAAGCACUCCCCUAUAGAGCAUGGACCUGAAAUUCUGCAGCUAUUGAAGGCAAUACACCUGCCAAAGGCCAUAGCUAUCAUUCAUUGUAGGGGGCAUCAAAGGGACUUAACCCCUAUAGCACAAGGGAAUGGAAAGGCUGACGGAAGCCAAAGCAAAAGCCCUCAGCGUGCAAUCCCAACAGAUCCUAGCACUGCUUCCUUUCUACAAUUCCCCAGUAGAACCCAAAUACACACCACAGGAAGAACAGCUAAUAAAAAAAGCAAGGGAGACAAAAACAAGGAUCCUGGUGGCAUAUGGAGCCAAAAAUAUAUCUCCCUCAGGCAGCCCAGUGGAGAGUUAUAAAAGCCCUGCAUGACUCUUUCCAUGUGGGGAGGGAUGCGGCUCUGGCCAUGGUAAACAAGUUCUUUACUGGGUUUAACUCAGCUUCAAUGGCUAAGCAGGUCUGUCAAGCCUGCUCACUGUGUGCAUUUAACAAUCCAGGCAUCAAAAUGCCCCCUCUAAUAAAACCAGUCCAAAGGAGGGGAACUUAUCCAGGGGAAGACUGGCAGUUAGACGUCAUCCAUAUGCCAGCUUGCAGAGGAUACAAGCUUUUGUUAAUACUAAUAGAUACUUUUAGGUUGGGUCAAAGGUUACCCCAGAAAAGGCUAAUGAGGUUCUAAGGUCCUCUUAAAAGAAAUAAUUCCCCAGUUUGGGUUACCUCAGGGUCUCCAAAGUGAUAAUGGCUAAUCCUUUAUCUCCCAAAUAACUCAAGGGGUUGCUAAGGCUCUUGGAAUAAAAUACUAUUUACAUUCAGCCUGGAGGCCCCAAUCCUCUGGAAAAGUGGAAAGGGUUAACCAAACUCUAAAAUAAGCACUAGCUAAACUAUGUCAGGAAACAUCAGAAACUUGGGUUAGCUUAUUGCUCACAGCCCUUUUAAGAAUUUGUAAUACCCCUAGCUCAAAAAUUAACAGAAGCCCAUAUAAAAUGUUAUACAGAAGGCCAUUCUUAACUAAUGAUUUAAUUAUUGACCCAGAAAGAGUUGGUGUAAUUAAAUACCUAGUCAACCCAGAACAAUUCCAGCGGGUUUACAAGAGUUUGGAAUUCAAAGGCUCCUCACACUUGGAACUAACCAGCAACCCAAAAUCAGGCCAGGAGAUAGGGUACUUGUUAAAACAUGGAAUGAGGGAUCACCUGCCCAACAAUUACAACCCCAAUAGAAGGGACUUUUUUCAGUAAUACUGGCCACGUCUUCUGUGGUCAAAGUACUAGUAUUAGAUAGCUGGAUACAUCUUUCAAGGAUCAAACCAUCAAUACCAGAAGCUCCAGACCAGGAACCUGAAGUUCCCAUCAGCCAGUACACCUGUGAACCAGUGGAGGACCUGAAGUACCUGUUUAAAAGAUAGCCAAAAGAUAAGUAAAUGCCUACCAACUUUCUUUGGUGUCUUUGUUGCAUAGUUACUGUGGGCUGGAAAAUAGUAGCCAUUUUUAUCUUUGCAGUUUAAUUGCCUUCUUCCAAAUAGAUAAAAAUCACUUCCUUUGUAAUAAUUAAACAGAAUUUAAAAAAUACAUUUCUAUGACAAAUAUUCCUGAUGGCAUAAGUAUCCACCCCAAGGUUCCCAUUAAAUCUUUUAACCUAAAGUAUUUCCUCUCACCUAGAGAUCAUCGAGCUGUGUGACAAGGGUGCCAGCCACUCCAGGUGAAGACACCACCCCAGGCCAUCAAGGAUCUUCCCUACCUUCACUAAACAGAGCAGGGUGAAAGUUGUGUGAUCCCCAAUAGGUAGGGACUACACCCCAAGUCAGCAGGAAGCAGUUACAGAAGAAAGACCAUUGGUCCCUCUGCUUCCCAUAAAGAUUUAUGGGGAUCACAGCUUUCACGGGGGAGAUGAGGCAAGAGAAUAGGGCAUGCAGGCAGGGUACUUGAGGCCAAUCCACGCUGACUUCCUAGAACUGAAUUAAAUGAAAGCUCCUCAGCAAUGACAGGAAUGUGAAUGGCUUUGUAACUUCUUCCUCUCCAUUAAUGCUAUUUCCACUUUGUAACUUCACUUUCAUCCUCUCCAUUUACAUAGAUCACACACCAAGUAACAUCCUCUCCAUUUACAGUAGGGCGCAUUCCGAGUCAAUGACUCUGACUGCACUUCGUUCUCCUCAUUUACAUAGAACAUUCGCCAAGUAACCAAUGGGAAACCUCUAGAGUAUUGAAACUCCAGAAAAUUCCGUAAGUGGGGCUCUUGAGCGUCUACACUCGGGUCGCUCCCACACUGUGGCGUGUACUUUUAUUCUCAAUAAAUUCCCGCUUUUGCUUUCCUCGUUCUGUUUGAGUGUUUUGUCCAAUUCUUUGUUUGAGGCGCCAAGAACCUGGACACCUUCUACCAGUGACACUACCAAUUUUUGAUUCCAUUAAAGAUCACAGGUAUUUUCUGAACAUUUACCCUGUACCAGUCUUGCAGGGUCCAAACUCCUGUUAAAGAGCUUGUGGGCUAAUGGAGGGAGCAGGCAUGUGAACAAGCAAAUUAUGAAAUAGCGUGCAGAGUACAGCAGUAGAGAUGUAUUCUAGGAUCAGAGGUCACACAGAGGAGGGGUGCCUGAUUAACUGUGCAGGGAGAC